AGGAUGGGAUUCAGAUGGGAAAAGUUGACGAAGUUGGGAGAGAAGUCUGCUACAGCUUCAUUGACAAUUUUAUAAAUAAACACACAUUUUGUUGAUUUCAUACCGUAGUGAACAGCAAGUCUAUUUUCAGGUUUUGAAAGUUGAAAAUAUCCAACAUAUCGCUGGAGUCACAUGAAAGAGUUAAAGAGAACAUAUUUUAAAAGUGAAUAUUUCGUCCAAGUCACACACCACCAAGACAGAUUUAGAUUGUAAAUAUGAUGGGACGCAAAAGAAUAUUCUUCGUGUUUUGCAAGAAAAAUUGACAAGCUUCCAAAGAGCAGCCAUAUUGGAAACAAAACACUUGUUUUUAUCGUUCAAUAUUAUUGAAAGAAAUUAUUUACUGUACAUGUUGUUUAAACAAUAUCAUCAGUUUUCUUCCACUUAAUGUCUACAAGAAAAAAUAUAUAAGGGUAGAACUUUUAUUCAGCAUUUAAGAAACUAUUUAAUUUUUUUAAUACGCACCACAACAUGAUGGUGUAUUUCUGAGCGAUGUAAACACGGCAGUUAUGUUAGAAGCUACAGUACUGAACUAUAUAUGUAUGAGUAAAACUGAAGUAUUUGUUUAGUAAAUGCACGACUCAAAAUGGCGGAGGUUUCUGGAAAUUUUAGAAAUGUAGAUUAUACAGAUAUCAGAAUUAGGGAGCAUGAAUUGUACUAUUCCAUUUUCUCAUGCUCAAGCUUUGCUGGAAGCUUUCAUCCAACACUUAUCAUGGAGGAAAAUCCAAGUGAUCAGAAUUCAAGAUGGGUAUCUGAAACGCACGUACCACCACAAUUCAUUACUUUGAAACUUGAGAAACCAUCUGCCGUAACAAAA
This is a long non-coding RNA of Xenia sp. Carnegie-2017, 853 nucleotides long. RefSeq lists it as uncharacterized. Lineage: Eukaryota; Metazoa; Cnidaria; Anthozoa; Malacalcyonacea; Xeniidae. The transcript has 4 exons. The record is from RefSeq and is a predicted model, not a curated record.